AUUGAACGCUGGCGGCAUGCCUUACACAUGCAAGUCGAACGGCAGCACGGGAGCAAUCCUGGUGGCGAGUGGCGAACGGGUGAGUAAUAUAUCGGAACGUGCCCAGUCGUGGGGGAUAACGUAGCGAAAGUUACGCUAAUACCGCAUACGAUCUAAGGAUGAAAGCGGGGGAUCGCAAGACCUCGCGCGAUUGGAGCGGCCGAUAUCAGAUUAGGUAGUUGGUGAGGUAAAGGCUCACCAAGCCAACGAUCUGUAGCUGGUCUGAGAGGACGACCAGCCACACUGGGACUGAGACACGGCCCAGACUCCUACGGGAGGCAGCAGUGGGGAAUUUUGGACAAUGGGCGCAAGCCUGAUCCAGCAAUGCCGCGUGCAGGAUGAAGGCCU
RNAcentral lists this ribosomal RNA (387 nucleotides) under uncultured bacterium. RNAcentral describes it as "bacterial SSU rRNA". It matches the Rfam family "Bacterial small subunit ribosomal RNA", at positions 30 to 417 of the family's 1533-position model. The record is from RNAcentral.